UGAGGAAUUUUGCGCAAUGGGAGCAAUCCUGACGCAGCAACGCCGCGUGGGUGAUGAAGGCCUUCGGGUCGUAAAGCCCUGUCAGGUGGGAAGAAUGUCCCGGGACUGAACAGGUUCCGGGAGUGACGGUACCACCAGAGGAAGCACCGGCUAACUCCGGGCCAGCAGCCGCGGUAAUACGGAGGGUGCACGCGUUAUUCGGAAUUACUGGGCGUAAAGCGCGUGUAGGCGGUCCUGCAAGUCGGAUGUGAAAGCCCCGGGCUUAACCCGGGAAGUGCAUUGGAAACUGUGGGGCUUGAGUACUGGAGAGGAUGGGGGAAUUCCCGGUGUAGAGGUGAAAUUCGUAGAGAUCGGGAGGAAUAUCAGUGGCGAAGGCGCCCAUCUGGACGGUAACUGACGCUGAGACGCGAAAGCGUGGGGAGCAAACA
RNAcentral lists this ribosomal RNA (428 nucleotides) under uncultured prokaryote. RNAcentral's name for it is "bacterial SSU rRNA". It matches the Rfam family "Bacterial small subunit ribosomal RNA", at positions 355 to 774 of the family's 1533-position model. The record is from RNAcentral.